AUGAAAGGGAUCUUUUGGAAUAGCAGAGGUCUUAAGGACUUGGCUAAAAGGAGGUUCCUUGCGGAGGCAUCUAUUGAGCAUUGUUUGGACUUUAUUGCCCUGUCGGAAACGGGUAGAGCAAAUUUCUCACCUCAAUUUCUCAAUACUUUGUCGGGAGGGAUUGAGUUUGACUGGCAUUGUCUACCGCCUAGAGGUAGGUCGGGGGGUAUCUUACUGGGUGUUAGAUGUGACUCUCUUGAAGUUCGAAGUGUGGUCAUGGGGGAUUUUGCUGUUAAGUUCAGGGUGCGGUCCAAACAGGAUGGUUUUGACUGGGCUUUGGUGGCGGUGUACGGGGCAGCGCAGUCCGAGUUCAAACCAGAUUUCCUGGCAGACCUUGUUAGAGUAUGUGGGUCUGAGCAGCUUCCAAUUCUGGUUGGGGGGGAUUUUAACAUAAUUAGGAGACGCGAUGAAAAGAAUAAUGACAACUUCGAUGGGAGAUGGUCAUUUAUGUUUAAUACCAUUAUUGAAAGCUUAGAUUUGAGAGAAAUUGAGCUUUCAGGUAGGAAGUUCACGUGGGCUAAUGCGAUGCCUAAUCCAACAUACGAGAAGUUGGAUCGGGUUCUGGCUAGUGUUGCUUGGGAACAGAAGUUUCCCGUGGUAACUGUUCAGGCGCUCACUCGUGGGAUCUCUGAUCACACGCCGUUGUUGCUUGAUUCUGGCGGGGCUACAUACUCGGGCAACAAAAAUGUUUUCUCGUUCGAGAUGGCGUGGUUUGAAAGAGAAGGAUUUUUGGAUAUUAUUGCCAGAGAAUGGGCGAAAGAGGUAGGAGGUAGAAGUGCCAUUGAGAGGUGGCAGAACAAGAUUAGGAAUCUCCGUAGCUUCCUUCGUGGGUGGGCUAAACAUCUAGGGGGAAUGUAUAAGGUUGAGAAGGAACGGCUCCUUUCACUUAUAAAAACCUUAGAUGUAAAAGCAGAAACUACGGUUCUGGUACCCACUGAGCUUCAUAUUAAGCAUGAGGCUGAGAUGAGGCUGAAGGAAUUGCUCCGGGAGGAAGAAUUGAAGUGGGCAUUAAGGGCAAAGGUGAGAAAAGUUGUCCAGGGGGAUGCGAACACACAGUUCUUCCACAUGAUUGCUAAUGGCAAGCAUAGGAAGAAGAGGAUCUUCCAGCUGGAGCAAGAGGAGGGUACAAUAGUUGGCCAAGACAACCUGAAAACAUACAUUACUGAAUAUUACAAAAGGUUGUUUGGACCACCAGAGGAGAGUAGUGUAUCCCUGGAUGAGUCUAGGGUCAGCGAUAUCCCUCAGCUUUCUUCAGUGGAGAACGAUUUGUUAACAGCCCCUUUCUCGGAAAAGGAAGUUUUCGAGGCUAUUGCCAAGAUGAAAUGUAAUAAGGCGCCGGGGCCGGAUGGUUUCCCGGCUGAGUUUUACAAGAAGUGUUGGCAUAUUAUCAAAGGGGACCUGAUGCCAAUGUUCCAUGAUUUGUUCUCGGGACACUUGCAGCUGUUCCAACUGAAUUUUGGCACGAUAACGUUGUUGCCUAAGAAAACUGAUGCCGUCAAAAUUGAACAAUUUCGGCCGAUCUGCCUGCUCAAUGUCAGCUUCAAAAUUUUUACCAAGGUUGGUACGAUAAGGCUGACUCAGAUAGCGCACGCUGUUGUUCAACCUUCGCAAACGGCUUUCAUGCCGGAUAGGAACAUCCUAGAGGGGGUUGUGGUCCUACAUGAAACGCUUCAUGAAAUUCAUACGAAAAAAAUAGAUGGGGUUAUUUUCAAAGUGGAUUUCGAGAAGGCUUAUGAUAAAGUCAAAUGGCCGUUCCUCCAGCAAGCUUUAAGAAUGAAGGGUUUUGAUGAGCGCUGGAGGCAUCAGGUGGAAACGUUCACGCAAAAAGGUAGCGUUGGCAUUAAGGUCAAUGAUGACAUAGGCCACUAUUUCCGAACACACAAGGGUCUGCGACAGGGCGAUCAUAUGUCACCUAUUCUGUUCAAUAUUGUGGUUGAUGUGUUAGCGAUCCUGAUUGGGAGGGCCAAAGAGGCUGGUCAGGUGGAGGGAGUGGUGCCUCAUCUGGUUGAUGGUGGUUUAUCCAUCCUGCAAUACGCUGACGAUACAAUCAUUUUUAUGGAACAUGAUUUGGCCAAGGCGAGGAACAUGAAACUAGUAUUAUGCCUUUUUGAACAAUUGUCUGGGCUGAAGAUUAAUUUCCAUAAAAGUGAGUUGUUCUGUUUUGGUAGAGCCAAAGACGAACAGGAAGCUUAUACACAAUUGUUCGGAUGUGAGAGUGGGUCUCUUCCUUUCUCUUAUCUCGGUAUUCCAAUACACCAUCGUAAGUUAACGAAUGCUGAAUGGAAGACCAUCGAGGAUAGAUUUGAGAAAAAACUAAGUUGUUGGAAAGGAAAACUCAUGUCUUAUGGAGGCCGGUUGAUUCUCAUUAACUCGGUGCUCACGAGUUUACCUAUGUUUCUGCUAUCUUUCUUCGAAGUACCAGUUGGGGUGAGGAAGAGACUAGACUUUUAUCGGUCUCGCUUCUUCUGGCAGAGUGAUGAAUCUAAGAGGAAGUAUAGAUUGGCCAAAUGGGAUAUUAUUUGCAGACCAAAGGACCAAGGAGGACUUGGCAUUGAAAAUCUUGAAGUUAAAAAUAAGUGCCUCCUGAGUAAGUGGCUGUUUAAGCUGUCUUCUGAGACAGAGGCAACAUGGGCGCAGAUUUUACGGAGUAAAUAUCUGUACUCAAAGACUUUAUCCCAAGUCACUAUGAGACCUACAGACUCGCCGUUCUGGAAAGGGCUAAUGAGGGCUAAAUCCACUUUCUUUAACAGAACGAAAUGUAUUGUUGGUAAUGGAGCUGAUACGCGAUUCUGGGAGGAUACGUGGCUGGGUGACACGCCUCUGGCUUCUCAGUAUCCAGCGCUGUAUCGUAUUGUUCAGCAUAGGGAUGCCCUUGUGGUCACAGUAAUGCAGACGAUUCCCCUUAACAUCCAGUUUAGAAGAGUGCUUGCUGGACCGAGAUGGGAAGCAUGGCUUCACUUGGUCCGUAGGCUGAUGGAGGUGCAGCUAAAUCCUCAGCCCGACCAGUUGUAUUGGAAGCUAACUAGAACUGGGGUGUUCACGGUCAAGUCUAUGUAUCUUGAUAUCAUUAAUUCAUCCGUGAUACCUACGUCCAAUGUAGUCUGGAACGUUAAGGUUCCUUUGAAGAUUAAAGUGUUUAUGUGGUUUGUGCAUAAACAGGUAAUUCUUACAAAGGACAAUCUAGUUAAGCGCAACUGGACAGGAUCUACUAGGUGUAGCUUCUGUGAUCGGGAUGAGUCUAUCAAACAUUUAUUUUUUGAUUGCCCGUUGGCACAAGGGUUGUGGCGCACCGUGCAAAUUGCCUUUAAUAUUACUCCACCGAGAUCGGUAAACACGCUUUUUGGGGCGUGGUUGCUCGGGACGGAGCCCGAAACAGCCAGACAAAUUUGUGUAGGAGUAUGUGCGUUAUUAUGGGCAAUUUGGAACUGCAGGAAUGACUUGGUUUUUAACAGGACAUCAAAUACUCAUUUUUUGCAGGUGUUGUUCCGGGCUACGGCGCUGAUCCGUACUUGGUCCUUACUCACUCCGACGGAGGCCAGGGAGCGUUUGGUUACUGGAUCUGUCCGGUGGGAGACGGUUGCGCGGGAUAUCUUCAACCGGUUUGGAUGGCGAUCAUGUAAUAGGAUAGGCAUCUAG
This 3675-nucleotide ribosomal RNA is filed under the name Triticum aestivum (bread wheat). Its description in RNAcentral is "partial small subunit ribosomal RNA". The record is from RNAcentral. Lineage: Eukaryota; Viridiplantae; Streptophyta; Magnoliopsida; Poales; Poaceae.